CCUACGGGAGGCUGCAGUGGGGAAUAUUGCACAAUGGGCGCAAGCCUGAUGCAGCCAUGCCGCGUGUGUGAAGAAGGCCUUCGGGUUGUAAAGCACUUUCAGCGGGGAGGAAGGCGUUAAGGUUAAUAACCUUGUCGAUUGACGUUACCCGCAGAAGAAGCACCGGCUAACUCCGUGCCAGCAGCCGCGGUAAUACGGAGGGUGCAAGCGUUAAUCGGAAUUACUGGGCGUAAAGCGCACGCAGGCGGUCUGUCAAGUCGGAUGUGAAAUCCCCGGGCUCAACCUGGGAACUGCAUUCGAAACUGGCAGGCUAGAGUCUUGUAGAGGGGGGUAGAAUUCCAGGUGUAGCGGUGAAAUGCGUAGAGAUCUGGAGGAAUACCGGUGGCGAAGGCGGCCCCCUGGACAAAGACUGACACUCAGGUGCAAAAGCGUGGGGAGCAAACAGGAUUAGAUACCCGGGUAGUC
This 465-nucleotide ribosomal RNA is filed under the name uncultured Klebsiella sp. Its description in RNAcentral is "bacterial SSU rRNA". It matches the Rfam family "Bacterial small subunit ribosomal RNA", at positions 338 to 795 of the family's 1533-position model. Lineage: Bacteria; Pseudomonadati; Pseudomonadota; Gammaproteobacteria; Enterobacterales; Enterobacteriaceae. The record is from RNAcentral.